AACUAACGCUGGCGGCGUGCCUAACACAUGCAAGUCGUACGAGAAAGUUGGCUUCGGCCGAUGAGUAAAGUGGCGCACGGGUGAGUAACGCGUGGAUAAUCUACCCCUCAGUUGGGAAUAACUCAUCGAAAGGUGGGCUAAUACCGAAUAAUACUGCAUGACUUCUGUUGUGUAGUCAAAGAUGGCCUCUGCUUGCAUGCUAUUGCUGAAGGAUGAGUCCGCGUACCAUUAGCUAGUUGGUAGGGUAAUGGCCUACCAAGGCAACGAUGGUUAGCUGGUCUGAGAGGAUGAUCAGCCACACUGGAACUGAGACACGGUCCAGACUCCUACGGGAGGCAGCAGUGAGGAAUAUUGCGCAAUGGGGGAAACCCUGACGCAGCAACGCCGCGUGAGUGAGGAAGGUUUUCGGACCGUAAAGCUCUGUCGAGCGGGAAGAAAUGCAUAAUUGCUAAUAUCCAUUAUGCUUGACGGUACCGAC
RNAcentral lists this ribosomal RNA (478 nucleotides) under uncultured bacterium. RNAcentral's name for it is "bacterial SSU rRNA". It matches the Rfam family "Bacterial small subunit ribosomal RNA", at positions 29 to 482 of the family's 1533-position model. The record is from RNAcentral.